Molecule: long non-coding RNA, 130 nt
Organism: Mustela erminea (ermine)
Lineage: Eukaryota; Metazoa; Chordata; Mammalia; Carnivora; Mustelidae
Exons: 3
Source: RefSeq, a predicted model, not a curated record
AGAAUCCCAAGCAGACUCUGGGCUGGGUGUGUGGAGCCCCAAACGGGGCUUGAUCCUGCAACUGGAGAUCAAAACCUGAGCCAAAACCAAAAGUCAGAUGCUUAACCCACUGAGCCACCCAGGUGUCCUU